GACGAACGCUGGCGGCGUGCUUAACACAUGCAAGUCGAACGGAGCGAAUGAAAGCUUGCUUUUAUGAGCUUAGUGGCAAACGGGUGAGUAACACGUAGACAACCUGCCGACAGGAUGGGGACAACAUUCCGAAAGGAAUGCUAAUACCGAAUGAAGCGGAGGAGAGGCAUCUCUCCUCCGUGAAAGAUGGCCUCUAUUUAUAAGCUAUCACCUGUCGAUGGGUCUGCGUCUGAUUAGCUGGUUGGUGAGGUAACGGCUCACCAAGGCGACGAUCAGUAGCCGGUCUGAGAGGAUGAACGGCCACAUUGGGACUGAGACACGGCCCAGACUCCUACGGGAGGCAGCAGUGGGGAAUCUUCCGCAAUGGGCGCAAGCCUGACGGAGCAACGCCGCGUGAGUGAAGAAGGUCUUCGGAUCGUAAAGCUCUGUGACGGGGACGAACGUGCGAGAGGUGAAUAUCUCUG
This 464-nucleotide ribosomal RNA is filed under the name Centipeda infelix. RNAcentral's name for it is "bacterial SSU rRNA". It matches the Rfam family "Bacterial small subunit ribosomal RNA", at positions 28 to 471 of the family's 1533-position model. The record is from RNAcentral. Lineage: Bacteria; Bacillati; Bacillota; Negativicutes; Selenomonadales; Selenomonadaceae.